RNAcentral lists this ribosomal RNA (253 nucleotides) under uncultured bacterium. Its description in RNAcentral is "partial 16S ribosomal RNA". It matches the Rfam family "Bacterial small subunit ribosomal RNA", at positions 524 to 776 of the family's 1533-position model. The record is from RNAcentral.
UACGAAGGGGGCUAGCGUUGCUCGGAAUCACUGGGCGUAAAGCGCACGUAGGCGGCUUGUUAAGUCAGGGGUGAAAUCCUGGAGCUCAACUCCAGAACUGCCUUUGAUACUGGCGAGCUUGAGUUCGGGAGAGGUGAGUGGAACUGCGAGUGUAGAGGUGAAAUUCGUAGAUAUUCGCAAGAACACCAGUGGCGAAGGCGGCUCACUGGACCAUAACUGACGCUGAUGCACGAAAGCUAGGGGAGCAAACAGG